CCAGACUCCUACGGGAGGCAGCAGUGGGGAAUAUUGGGCAAUGGGCGCAAGCCUGACCCAGCAACGCCGCGUGAAGGAAGAAGGCUUUCGGGUUGUAAACUUCUUUUGUCAGGGACGAAGCAAGUGACGGUACCUGACGAAUAAGCCACGGCUAACUACGUGCCAGCAGCCGCGGUAAUACGUAGGUGGCAAGCGUUAUCCGGAUUUACUGGGUGUAAAGGGAGCGUAGACGGCAUGGCAAGUCAGAUGUGAAAGCCCGGGGCUCAACCCCGGGACUGCAUUUGAAACUGUCAGGCUGGAGUGCAGGAGAGGUAAGUGGAAUUCCUAGUGUAGCGGUGAAAUGCGUAGAUAUUAGGAGGAACACCAGUGGCGAAGGCGGCCUGCUGGACGGAUACUGACGCUGAGGCCCGAAAGCGUGGGGAGCGAACAGGAUUAGAUACCCCCGUAGC
RNAcentral lists this ribosomal RNA (449 nucleotides) under uncultured bacterium. RNAcentral describes it as "bacterial SSU rRNA". It matches the Rfam family "Bacterial small subunit ribosomal RNA", at positions 331 to 794 of the family's 1533-position model. The record is from RNAcentral.